RNAcentral lists this ribosomal RNA (274 nucleotides) under uncultured bacterium. RNAcentral describes it as "partial 16S ribosomal RNA". It matches the Rfam family "Bacterial small subunit ribosomal RNA", at positions 523 to 796 of the family's 1533-position model. The record is from RNAcentral.
AUACGGGGGGCGCAAGCGUUGUCCGGAAUCACUGGGCGUAAAGCGCGCGUAGGCGGCCAGAUCAGUCACGUGUGAAAUCCCGGAGCUCAACUCCGGACCUGCACGUGAUACUGUCUGGCUAGAGCAUGGUAGAGGCAAGUGGAAUUCCCGGUGUAGCGGUGGAAUGCGUAGAUAUCGGGAAGAACACCAGUGGCGAAGGCGGCUUGCUGGGCCAUUGCUGACGCUGAGGCGCGAAAGCGUGGGGAGCAAACAGGAUUAGAUACCCCGGUAGUCC